UGGGGAAUAUUGGACAAUGGGCGAAAGCCUGAUCCAGCCAUGCCGCGUGUGUGAAGAAGGUCUUCGGAUUGUAAAGCACUUUAAGUUGGGAGGAAGGGCAGUAAGUUAAUACCUUGCUGUUUUGACGUUACCGACAGAAUAAGCACCGGCUAACUCUGUGCCAGCAGCCGCGGUAAUACAGAGGGUGCAAGCGUUAAUCGGAAUAACUGGGCGUAAAGCGCGCGUAGGUGGUUUGUUAAGUUGGAUGUGAAAGCCCCGGGCUCAACCUGGGAACUGCAUCCAAAACUGGCAAGCUAGAGUACGGUAGAGGGUGGUGGAAUUUCCUGUGUAGCGGUGAAAUGCGUAGAUAUAGGAAGGAACACCAGUGGCGAAGGCGACCACCUGGACUGAUACUGACACUGAGGUGCGAAAGCGUGGGGAGCAAACA
RNAcentral lists this ribosomal RNA (427 nucleotides) under uncultured bacterium. RNAcentral's name for it is "partial 16S ribosomal RNA". It matches the Rfam family "Bacterial small subunit ribosomal RNA", at positions 355 to 774 of the family's 1533-position model. The record is from RNAcentral.